This 495-nucleotide small RNA is filed under the name Arabidopsis thaliana (thale cress). RNAcentral describes it as "ATSL278490". Lineage: Eukaryota; Viridiplantae; Streptophyta; Magnoliopsida; Brassicales; Brassicaceae. The record is from RNAcentral.
AUGUACCUCGAUGUAAUGGGCCUAUAAAUAGAGGAGACCUUUUAAUCCCAAAAUAAACAACAAUAAUCUUAAGUUUACUUUUCUCUCUCUUUUUCGUCUUUAGUUUUUUGUUUUUGUCAACCGAUAUUAAUUAAAUAUAGUUUAAAAGAGUUAUUCAUAAGGAAUGUUGUUUACAUAUGUGAUAUGAUGCGAUUCAGUACAGAUUUUCCGUGCCAAAUUAUCCGCUUUACCACGAGAGAUUAAAGAUAAAGAAAAACUAAUGAAUUCUCCUUUGUGGUUAUGUAAUUCCUUCAAAUAAGCUGAAAAAGCUGGUCAUUCGGUUGAAGUGGAGAAGACACCAUCUUCACUAGGUCUGAACAGUCUGUUAAGAAAACUACAUCUUGGUUAUCGGCGUCAAUCAUACACCUCAUACCCCAUUUUUUAGUUCUUCCUUCAAUUCUACGGAUUUAGAUCUAUUUCAAUAAAGCAAUUCCUCAUUAAUCUCAAUUAGAUUUU